AAUGGGCGCAAGCCUGACGGAGCAAGACCGCGUGAGGGAGGAAGGCUCUUGGGUUGUAAACCUCUUUUAUCAGGGAAGAAGAUCUGACGGUACCUGAUGAAUCAGCAUCGGCUAACUCCGUGCCAGCAGCCGCGGUAAUACGGAGGAUGCAAGCGUUAUCCGGAUUUAUUGGGCGUAAAGCGUCCGCAGGUGGUUUUUCAAGUCUGCUGUUAAAGCGCAGAGCUUAACUCUGUAACGGCGGUGGAAACUGAGAGACUAGAGUAUGGUAGGGGUUGCGGGAAUUCCCAGUGUAGCGGUGAAAUGCGUAGAUAUUGGGAAGAACACCAGCGGCGAAAGCGCGCAACUGGGCCAUUACUGACACUCAUGGACGAAAGCUAGGGGAGCGAAAGGGAUUAGA
Molecule: ribosomal RNA, 397 nt
Filed under: uncultured cyanobacterium
Lineage: Bacteria; Bacillati; Cyanobacteriota
Description: bacterial SSU rRNA
Rfam family: Bacterial small subunit ribosomal RNA
Source: RNAcentral